This 253-nucleotide ribosomal RNA is filed under the name uncultured bacterium. RNAcentral describes it as "partial 16S ribosomal RNA". It matches the Rfam family "Bacterial small subunit ribosomal RNA", at positions 524 to 776 of the family's 1533-position model. The record is from RNAcentral.
GACGAACCACACAAACGUUAUUCGGAAUUACUGGGCUUAAAGAGUUCGUAGGCGGCCUGAAAAGUAGGGUGUGAAAGCCCUCGGCUCAACCGAGGAAUUGCGCUCUAAACUGUCGUGCUCGAGGAACCUAGAGGUGAGCAGAACAGAUGGUGGAGCGGUGAAAUGCGUUGAUAUCAUCUGGAACACCGGUGGCGAAGGCGGCCUGCUGGGCAGUGGCUGACGCUGAGGCGCGACAGCGUGGGGAGCAAACAGG